Molecule: ribosomal RNA, 447 nt
Filed under: uncultured bacterium
Lineage: Bacteria
Description: bacterial SSU rRNA
Rfam family: Bacterial small subunit ribosomal RNA
Source: RNAcentral
UGCCAGACUCCUACGGGAGGCAGCAGUGGGGAAUAUUGCACAAUGGGGGAAACCCUGAUGCAGCGACGCCGCGUGAGUGGAGAAGUAUUUCGGUAUGUAAAGCUCUAUCAGCAGGGAAGAAAAUGACGGUACCUGACUAAGAAGCCCCGGCUAAAUACGUGCCAGCAGCCGCGGUAAUACGUAUGGGGCAAGCGUUAUCCGGAUUUACUGGGUGUAAAGGGAGCGCAGGCGGCGCGGCAAGUCAGAUGUGAAAGCCCGGGGCUCAACCCCGGGACUGCAUUUGAAACUGCCGUGCUGGAGUGUCGGAGAGGCAAGUGGAAUUCCUAGUGUAGCGGUGAAAUGCGUAGAUAUUAGGAGGAACACCAGUGGCGAAGGCGGCUUGCUGGACGAUAACUGACGCUGAGGCUCGAAAGCGUGGGGAGCAAACAGGAUUAGAUACCCCCGUAA